ACUAGGUAAGCCAGAUAGGGCUUGGGGGAGUAGGCCAGGUGUACAGUUGCAGUUUGUCAGUCCUGUCCUGGAUUGGUGAAUUAAUAUGUGUGAUGUCACUAGGAGGAGGGGUUGCAAAGGGGAUAUAAGCUGAUGCACACAAUGCAAGGGCAGUAAAAUAAUUUUAUGUUUUUUGUACUUACAGGUUUGCUACUGUUACAGUGUAGAUCCAGCAGGAUGACCACUAGAAGCAGGAAGAUACCUAAAAUGUAUAUGGUCAGCAAGAACAUGUGGAGUGGAAGUGCAGCAAGGGAGGAGAGAAAGUCUAAGAAGAGGAGGAUGGCUACAGUGAAGGAAGCUGGCAAGGAUUCUCAAGGAGUAAACAACCACACCACGGCUGAGGGAAUAAGUAUCCAGGGAAUGGACGCAGAUAGGAGAGAUCACUAGCAGCAAAGAACCAGCAAGGAACUGCUUGGGAAGAGAACAGCCAAACAAGCAGGAAGGAGCACACAAGAAUGGUACGCGUUGGCAAUCAAAUCCAGGGGUGAGGAGACAAAGAGCAAGAGAAAUACUUAUUUUGCUGAAUGAGUUGAAGGUUUUGCUAUAGAGGCUCACCCCAAACAGACAAAAGGGAUGAUGAGGUAUUUGCAUUUGAUUUCCGAUUGUUACACGGCAUAAGGGGGGUUCUCAUGGAAGGACUAUGACGAGAAAUUCAGGAAAGGUAACAUGGCGACAGGGGGUAAGGGCAGAAAGAAUUUUGGGGUUAAAGUGAUUGACAUGUGGUCUCGUUUAGUGAAGUUAGCAGAAGGCCAGGGGCCCAGAAAUCCCCAGUUGAU
Bombina bombina (fire-bellied toad) is the source of this 815-nucleotide long non-coding RNA. RefSeq lists it as uncharacterized. Lineage: Eukaryota; Metazoa; Chordata; Amphibia; Anura; Bombinatoridae. The record is from RefSeq and is a predicted model, not a curated record. The transcript has 3 exons.